UUGCCGGAACUCUACACACCAACAUUCCACGCUUGUGGGACUCAAAUGUUGGAUGACACAGUUGUAGCUGGAACUGAGUGUUUAGUGCACUCUGUGUAACAGUGAAAACAAUGUGAUCACUUCGGUGGGCUAGUAGCCUGUGGACUAACAACUGGUAACAGUUGCCUCAGGGGCCAAAAGCCACGGUGUUAACAGCACCCUACUAGUUUGAUUGGAGCAAUCCAUGAUGUUACAGAGUUAGUAACUGCCAAACAGAUUGUACUGGUAUCUUGGCAUACCGUGCAACUUAGGAUAGUGAAGGAUGCCCUGGCGGUACCCAUAGGUAACAAGUGACACUAUGGAUCUAAACAGGGGCUCACUCUACGUUGCUUUACAACUAGCUGUGAGUUAAAAAACGUCUAACUAUCCACAACCUAGGGGACUAGGUUUUCCUUUUUAUUUUUAUACACA
RNAcentral lists this non-coding RNA (450 nucleotides) under Ovine hungarovirus OHUV1/2009/HUN. RNAcentral's name for it is "Aphthovirus internal ribosome entry site (IRES)". It matches the Rfam family "Aphthovirus internal ribosome entry site (IRES)". From Rfam's summary of the family: IRES elements allow cap and end-independent translation of mRNA in the host cell. The IRES achieves this by mediating the internal initiation of translation by recruiting a ribosomal 43S pre-initiation complex directly to the initiation codon and eliminates the requirement for eIF4F. The record is from Rfam by way of RNAcentral. Lineage: Riboviria; Orthornavirae; Pisuviricota; Pisoniviricetes; Picornavirales; Picornaviridae.